UCUGGUACUUGUAUCAGAAUGAAGAGUAGCGAACGGGUGAGUAACGCGUGGGUAACCUACCUCUUAGCGGGGGACAACUAUUGGAAACGAUAGCUAAUACCGCAUAACAAUGUUAAACCCAUGUUUAACAUUUGAAAGUACCAAUUGGUACACUAGGAGAUGGACCCGCGUUGUAUUAGCUAGUUGGUAGUGUAAUGGACUACCAAGGCGAUGAUACAUAGCCGACCUGAGAGGGUGAUCGGCCACAUUGGGACUGAGACACGGCCCAAACUCCUACGGGAGGCAGCAGUAGGGAAUCUUCGGCAAUGGACGAAAGUCUGACCGAGCAACGCCGCGUGAGUGAAGAAGGUUUUCGGAUCGUAAAACUCUGUUGUUAGAGAAGAACGUUGUGUAGAGUGGAAAAUUACACAAGUGACGGUAUCUAACCAGAAAGGGACGGCUAACUACGUGCCAGCAGCCGCGGUAAUACGUAGGUCCCGAGCGUUGUCCGGAUUUAUUGGGCGUAAAGCGAGCGCAGGUGGUUUAAUAAGUCUGAUGUAAAAGGCAGUGGCUCAACCAUUGUGUGCAUUGGAAACUGUUAGACUUGAGUGCAGUAGAGGAGAGUGGAAUUCCAUGUGUAGCGGUGAAAUGCGUAGAUAUAUGGAGGAACACCGGUGGCGAAAGCGGCUCUCUGGACUGUAACUGACACUGAGGCUCGAAAGCGUGGGUAGCAAACAGGAUUAGAUACCCUGGUAGUCCACGCCGUAAACGAUGAGUGCUAGUUGUUUGGGGCUAUCCAGCCCUAAGUGACGCAGCAAACGCAUUAAGCACUCCGCCUGGGGAGUACGACCGCAAGGUUGAAACUCAAAGGAAUUGACG
RNAcentral lists this ribosomal RNA (858 nucleotides) under uncultured bacterium. RNAcentral describes it as "bacterial SSU rRNA". It matches the Rfam family "Bacterial small subunit ribosomal RNA", at positions 72 to 915 of the family's 1533-position model. The record is from RNAcentral.